GUCUCAUUGAGAUAUUGAGUGUGAAUUUGACCUAAACCUCCAUGUCAAAGGUUAGAAAUUGUCCCUUUGGCAUUGAACAAUUCCUGAUAGAUAAAAUCCCACAAAUUAUAUUGGCUCUCACAUGUUGUAAACAAUUGCAAAACACAAAGUUUGAAAAUGCCAAAGUCAGAUAAGAUUUGAGAGUUAGUUUGCAUAACUAAAAGUCACCAUCAAAUCUAUUUUCUAAAUGAUUGUUUUGAUCUCAUUGUAAUUUUGUUGCUUGUAAUUUUUCAUCAAAAUGUCAUAACUUCUCUCUGGACUUUUCAAGUAAUUUUUUCCUCAUAAACCCCAUCCUUUUUAUAAUUUACUUCAAGCCUGCAAUCAGAUCUGCCUCCAUCCAAUGGACAGAACCAAAUCGUUCAAGUAUGCUCAAUACAAUAGUAUACAAUAACAAAGAAAUUAUCUGGUGCUGUUUCCAUUACAUCUCAAAUUUAAAUUCUGGUUUGUUCCUCAAACAAAGCUAUCAUAUGUCUUCUGAAGAUUUGGAAUACAUCGCAAGUGUAUGUACCACUUUCAUGAUAGUUUUUUUUUUUUUUUUGAAGAUACGCAUAGAGGCAGUAAUAGAAGAUUGACAACAGAAUUUGUAAAGACAAGUCUAUCCCAGUGAGCAGUACCUGUCAAACGGCAGCAGGAAGACAAGGGUGUGAAAUAUACAAGAGCUCGAGAUGGAGAAUACUGCCGUAAUGGAAACCUGAAAACAGGAUACGGAAGCACUCAGAGAAAAAGAUGACCCAGCUCCCCCUGCACGCCUGAUGCCUAACAAAGCCAAAGACAUUAUGGGAUAUAUGGGCCAGACAAUGUAAAAAAAACUCAGCCUGGUACUCUCUUUCCCAUCACCUGGUGCUGUCUCAGGAGGUAAGAGGUGCUGUUUUUUAGCCCCGUGUGAUGAAUGGCCAUCACUCUCAAUUUCUGCCUGUGCAUCACCUCUCAGUCACUUGGCAUCAGACCAUCAUGCGGCUGGCAACGAAGACACCUGGGGCAGCGAUAGACAGAGAGCUGUGAGCCUAGAGGAGGAUGCUUGGUCAAUAAAUUAAUCUGUCACUUUAUUCUCCUCAUUUCUCUUUUUCAUUUUUACGCCUUCGGGGACGGGAGGAAUGAAUACAUAACGGCAAAAAGGGCAGCUGGUGCGAUCACAGAUUGACACCCCAGAGGAGACCGUUGAUGCCCCAGAGAUCCCCACAGAUGACUCUUGUCCAUUCCAGGUUUUAAGGUCAAAAACAAGGGGGCACUGUAGAUUUGCAUAUAUUCGCAUGUCACUGUUCUAAUCCAUGAGCUAGCCUUGACUUGUGAAGGUGUGAUUAACAUUUACCUAACAUGUUCGACAUCCUUCUUGUUCCUAAAAUGACACUGGGUUGAAUUCAGGGGCCUGAACUAAUUCUAUAAACCUGUGCUUACAAAGACAGGUAUAACUAUUACUAUUGCUCAGUUGAAAUAUUGCCACAUUUCUAAGUUACUUUGGAUAAAAGCAUCCACAAAAGGUCACAAAGUAACAAAAGGUCACCUAAAGUAUUAAAAGUUGGUGUGAAAGGCCCAAAACAAUUUCUACACAAGAAUCUCUGUAUAGAUACUUAAAGCUGAUUUAUACUUCUGUCAAAACUUUGCCGUAGGUUGUGUGUAGUAUGUGCAGGCUGUGGUGUAGCCUGAUGUGCACCUCUCCAAAAAUGUCACAGCGUGUCAAAUCUAUGGUGAUUGGUCUGCUAG
Cyprinus carpio (common carp) is the source of this 1740-nucleotide long non-coding RNA. RefSeq lists it as uncharacterized. The transcript has 3 exons. The record is from RefSeq and is a predicted model, not a curated record. NCBI's taxonomy places the organism in Eukaryota, Metazoa, Chordata, Actinopteri, Cypriniformes, Cyprinidae.